This is a long non-coding RNA of Clarias gariepinus (North African catfish), 534 nucleotides long. RefSeq lists it as uncharacterized. NCBI's taxonomy places the organism in Eukaryota, Metazoa, Chordata, Actinopteri, Siluriformes, Clariidae. The transcript is spliced from 3 exons. The record is from RefSeq and is a predicted model, not a curated record.
GUGACUGCUAUAUUAAGAACUACAUACCACAUAAAAGUGUUAAAAGGCUAAUUAAAUUGUUUCCAUAUGCUAAACAGUAAAAAGUCAGCAGCCAACUAGCCUGUCAUAAUUUCCCCCCUAAUCCAUAUAUACUUAAUAGUAAUUCAAAUUCAUUAAAAAUCUUUAAAUUACAAUUUUUUUUUUAAGUGGUGAAACCCAUGUCGGAUUUUUUUUUGUUUCUGGGAAAUCGUCUUUUUUCCGGCCUGCUUUAAUGGCUUAUCAGUGCUACAGGAAGUAGCAACAAAUACACAAAGAGAAGUUUCUGCUGCUGUUUUAAGAGCAAAUACACACAAAGCAGGCUGUAAUGCCAUCCCGGAUAAGCCCCCUUAAGGAUGCCAUUCAUCACAUUGUUUUAAAGACUGACAAAACGUGGAAAUUGGAGGUGAAGUACAUCAAUGCAAAACAAGACAGUGAGCAUUGCAGCUAAUGCCAUGGCAGAGGAUGACUCCCAGCCUUCCGUCCUAUCAAAGACUCAAAUAGGUGACUCUACUGUUC